UAACCUGCCCAAGAGAUCGGGAUAACACCUGGAAACAGAUGCUAAUACCGGAUAACAACAGAUGAUGCCUAUCAACUGUUUAAAAGAUGGUUCUGCUAUCACUCUUGGAUGGACCUGCGUGCAUUAGCUAGUUGGUAGGGUAACGGCCUACCAAGGCGAUGAUGCAUAGCCGAGUUGAGAGACUGAUCGGCCACAUUGGGACUGAGACACGGCCCAAACUCCUACGGGAGGCAGCAGCA
RNAcentral lists this ribosomal RNA (239 nucleotides) under uncultured Lactobacillus sp. RNAcentral's name for it is "partial 16S ribosomal RNA". It matches the Rfam family "Bacterial small subunit ribosomal RNA", at positions 122 to 355 of the family's 1533-position model. The record is from RNAcentral. Lineage: Bacteria; Bacillati; Bacillota; Bacilli; Lactobacillales; Lactobacillaceae.